AACGCUAGCUACAGGCUUAACACAUGCAAGUCGAGGGGCAGCAUGAACUUAGCUUGCUAAGUUUGAUGGCGACCAGCGCACGGGUGAGUAACACGUAUCCAACCUGCCGAUGACUCGGGGAUAGCCUUUCGAAAGAAAGAUUAAUACCCGAUGGCAUAGUUCUUCCGCAUGGUAGAACUAUUAAAGAAUUUCGGUCAUCGAUGGGGAUGCGUUCCAUUAGGUUGUUGGCGGGGUAACGGCCCACCAAGCCUUCGAUGGAUAGGGGUUCUGAGAGGAAGGUCCCCCACAUUGGAACUGAGACACGGUCCAAACUCCUACGGGAGGCAGCAGUGAGGAAUAUUGGUCAAUGGACGAGGGUCUGAACCAGCCAAGUAGCGUGAAGGAUGACUGCCCUAUGGGUUGUAAACUUCUUUUAUACGGGAAUAAAGUGAGGCACGUGUGCCUUUUUGUAUGUACCGUAUGAAUAAGGAUCGGCUAACUCCGUGCCAGCAGCCGCGGUAAUACGGAGGAUCCGAGCGUUAUCCGGAUUUAUUGGGUUUAAAGGGAGCGUAGGCGGACGCUUAAGUCAGUUGUGAAAGUUUGCGGCUCAACCGUAAAAUUGCAGUUGAUACUGGGUGUCUUGAGUACAGUAGAGGCAGGCGGAAUUCGUGGUGUAGCGGUGAAAUGCUUAGAUAUCACGAAGAACUCCGAUUG
RNAcentral lists this ribosomal RNA (693 nucleotides) under uncultured bacterium. RNAcentral's name for it is "bacterial SSU rRNA". It matches the Rfam family "Bacterial small subunit ribosomal RNA", at positions 32 to 715 of the family's 1533-position model. The record is from RNAcentral.